This 460-nucleotide ribosomal RNA is filed under the name uncultured bacterium. Its description in RNAcentral is "partial 16S ribosomal RNA". It matches the Rfam family "Bacterial small subunit ribosomal RNA", at positions 338 to 795 of the family's 1533-position model. The record is from RNAcentral.
CCUACGGGUGGCAGCAGUGAGGAAUAUUGGUCAAUGGCCGGAAGGCUGAACCAGCCAUGCCGCGUGAAGGUCAGUGCCCUAUGGGCGUUAAACUUCUUUUGUGCGGGAGCAAUAAUGGUAACGUGUGGCCAGACGAGAGUACCGUACGAAUAAGCAUCGGCUAACUCCGUGGCAGCAGCCGCGGUUAUUCGGGGGAUGCAAGCGGUAUACGGAUUUUUUGGGUUUAAAGGGUGCGUAGGCUGGGAGGUAAGUCAGCGGUGAAAUGCCCCCGCUCAACGGGGUGAAGUGCCAUUGAUACUGCCUUGCUUGAAUGCAGAUGCGGUGGGAGGAAUGUGUGGUGUAGCGGUGAAAUGCAUAGAUAUCACACAGAACACCGAUUGCGAAGGCAGCUUACGAAGCCGCGAUUGACGCUGAUGCACGAAAGCGUGGGUAUCAAACAGGAUUAGAUACCCGGGUAGUC